UCUAAUUCUUCCCUUCUCUCAAAUGCUCUCAAAUGCUCUCAAAACCCUAAUCGCCCGCCUAGCCCUUUUCGACCUCAAAUCAACCAGAAUCCAUGGCUGAUCUAGCCAUGGACGAUCUGUACGCACCUCCUACUUCUCUCACAUGCCUAAUGCCUGAAGAUUCGAGGCUAGUCUUUGAGGAUCUUCACCCAGACCUUCAUCGAUUCAAGGUUUCAUCCAUCUCCGACCAUGCUCCGGCAUAUCUUAGCCUCCUUAGACUAGUUCCGACCUUAUCGACGCAAAUCAGAUCUUGUCUUUACCAAGCCUUUCUCGUCCUUUAGGGUUCUCAGGAACCCUAGCCUAUUCAAGUUUCUUUUUUGUAUAUUCAUUUAGAUCUUUGCAAAAUCUAUGCUAUAUGUGACGUUUGAAGCAUUUUGCCCAAAUUUCCUUUUCAAAACCCUUUGAUAUCAAAUUAGUGUUUCUGAG
This 465-nucleotide long non-coding RNA is filed under the name Nicotiana benthamiana. Its description in RNAcentral is "long non-coding RNA (NBEN_LNC029929)". Lineage: Eukaryota; Viridiplantae; Streptophyta; Magnoliopsida; Solanales; Solanaceae. The record is from RNAcentral.